AGCAGCCGCGGUAAUUCCAGCUCCAAUAGCGUAUAUUAAAGUUGUUGCAGUUAAAAAGCUCGUAGUUGAAUUUCGGGAUCAAGGAAUCGGUCAUGCCUCGGUAUGUACUGGUUUUAUUGGUUCUCACCUUCUAAAGAACCAUGAUGUCAUUCAUUUGAUGUUAUGGGGAAUUAGGACUGUUACCUUGAAAAAUUAGAGUGUUUAAAGCAGGCUUACGCUUGAAUACAUUAGCAUGGAAUAAUGAAAUAGGACAUCAGAUUCUAUUUUGUUGGUUUCUAGGAUCGAUGUAAUGAUUAAUAGGGAUAGUUGGGGGCAUUAGUAUUCAAUUGUCAGAGGUGAAAUUCUUGGAUUUAUUGAAGACUAACUACUGCGAAAGCAUUUGCCAAGGAUGUUUUCAUUAAUCAAGAACGAAAGUUAGGGGAUCGAAGACGAUCAGAUACCGUCGUAGUCUUAACCAUAAACUAUGCCGACUAGGGAUCGGAUGAUGUUUUAUUUUUAGUGACUC
Molecule: unclassified non-coding RNA, 505 nt
Filed under: uncultured Glomus
Lineage: Eukaryota; Fungi; Glomeromycota; Glomeromycetes; Glomerales; Glomeraceae
Description: SSU rRNA
Rfam family: Eukaryotic small subunit ribosomal RNA
Source: RNAcentral